Molecule: non-coding RNA, 234 nt
Organism: Pelobates cultripes (western spadefoot toad)
Lineage: Eukaryota; Metazoa; Chordata; Amphibia; Anura; Pelobatidae
Source: the annotation of a GenBank genome assembly
AAAUAAUCUAGUAUAGGUUUCAAUAAAUUGUGAAUCCGAUAUACAUGACUGGGUAAUAUGAAUAAAAUAAAAUAAAUCCCUCAAAGGGUUAAAAUCUAAUGCAGCAGACAAAUACUUUUCAAAGUUUAUUAAUAAGUAACAAAAAAUGCUACAAAUAUAUGUGUCUUUCAAUAAAAGUCCCAAAAAAGAGUAGCAAACAAAACAGCACCAGUACCAGGUUUAACAGACCUUGAG